RNAcentral lists this ribosomal RNA (496 nucleotides) under uncultured bacterium. RNAcentral's name for it is "partial 16S ribosomal RNA". It matches the Rfam family "Bacterial small subunit ribosomal RNA", at positions 28 to 506 of the family's 1533-position model. The record is from RNAcentral.
GAUGAACGCUGGCGGCGUGCCUAAUACAUGCAAGUCGAGCGAACAGACGAGGAGCUUGCUCCUCUGACGUUAGCGGCGGACGGGUGAGUAACACGUGGAUAACCUACCUAUAAGACUGGGAUAACUUCGGGAAACCGGAGCUAAUACCGGAUAAUAUAUUGAACCGCAUGGUUCAAUAGUGAAAGACGGUUUUGCUGUCACUUAUAGAUGGAUCCGCGCCGCAUUAGCUAGUUGGUAAGGUAACGGCUUACCAAGGCAACGAUGCGUAGCCGACCUGAGAGGGUGAUCGGCCACACUGGAACUGAGACACGGUCCAGACUCCUACGGGAGGCAGCAGUAGGGAAUCUUCCGCAAUGAGCGAAAGCCUGACGGAGCAACGCAGCGUGAGUGAUGAAGGUCUUCGGAUCGUAAAACUCUGUUAUUAGGGAAGAACAAAUGUGUAAGUAACGAUGCACGUCUUGACGGUACCUAAUCAGAAAGCCACGGCUAACUACGU